RNAcentral lists this ribosomal RNA (496 nucleotides) under uncultured bacterium. RNAcentral's name for it is "partial 16S ribosomal RNA". It matches the Rfam family "Bacterial small subunit ribosomal RNA", at positions 28 to 506 of the family's 1533-position model. The record is from RNAcentral.
GAUGAACGCUGGCGGCGUGCCUAAUACAUGCAAGUCGAGCGAACAGACGAGGAGCUUGCUCCUCUGACGUUAGCGGCGGACGGGUGAGUAACACGUGGAUAACCUACCUAUAAGACUGGGAUAACUUCGGGAAACCGGAGCUAAUACCGGAUAAUAUAUUGAACCGCAUGGUUCAAUAGUGAAAGACGGUUUUGCUGUCACUUAUAGAUGGAUCCGCGCCGCAUUAGCUAGUUGGUAAGGUAACGGCUUACCAAGGCAACGAUGCGUAGCCGACCUGAGAGGGUGAUCGGCCACACUGGAACUGAGACACGGUCCAGACUCCUACGGGAGGCAGCAGUAGGGAAUCUUCCGCAAUGGGCGAAAGCCUGACGGAGCAACGCCGCGUGAGUGAUGAAGGUCUUCGGAUCGUAAAACUCUGUUAUUAGGGAAGAACAAAUGUGUAAGUAACGAUGCACGUCUUGACGGUACCGAAUCAGAAAGCCACGGCGAACUACGU